This 660-nucleotide long non-coding RNA is filed under the name Physcomitrium patens. RNAcentral's name for it is "long non-coding RNA (PPAT_LNC011304)". Lineage: Eukaryota; Viridiplantae; Streptophyta; Bryopsida; Funariales; Funariaceae. The record is from RNAcentral.
AGUUGAGUGAAGUAGUCCUACCCCAACAAAAAUUACAUUUAGGGAAUCCUUUCUGCAAGACUUUGCGCUUAUUAAUGGAUUUAAUUUUUUUUUUUGAAACAAAUAUAGGAAAUCCUUUAUUGCCAUAGAAGACCAAAAGUUUACAACCGACCCAGCUGUAGGCGGCCUGGGCAGGGGACUGGCUUAACAGAUCCUAGAGCUUAAGACUUAAUAUCAUACAUGCAGCCAUCUAUGCCCUUGGGUAGCUGGAGACGUCUGCCUGCUCGGAUCGAGGACCCACCGCCCGACCCCGUCGCUUGGCUAUGGAGGUUCGAAAACAAAUCCCGCCAUUGGGCCGGACAAUACCCACUGUGGGUGACCCUCUACCUUCAAAGAAAAAACUCCAUGAUAGCACCACCGCUUUUUGAAUCGAAGUGCAAGUUUCGCACUGCUAGCUCGUUUAGAUUUGCGGUAUUUACAAAUUGUUGACCACUCGACCCAACCAUAGUUGAGGAUUCCGAGCCACACCAUUUGGAGUAGUUUAGUCGAGUGCAACCUAACAUCAUUAAAGACGAGGUCGUUCCGUUCCGUCCACAAUGUCCAUAGAAUGAUUGUUCUGAGCUGCGUCCAUAUGAGGGUGAAUUGAACAAAUUUUUAGGGGAUUCUUUCUGAAAAAAGCCC